GCCAUAGCUUAGUGGUGGAGCACGUAUCCUGCAUGCGGAAGGUCCCAGGUUCAAUCCCCGGUGUCUCCA
Podarcis lilfordi (Lilford's wall lizard) is the source of this 69-nucleotide non-coding RNA. The record is from the annotation of a GenBank genome assembly. Lineage: Eukaryota; Metazoa; Chordata; Lepidosauria; Squamata; Lacertidae.